GCGUUGGUGGUUUAGUGGUAAAAUUGAUCGUUGCCAUUAGGAUCCACAGCUUCAACACGAAGAAGCUUACGAUUCCAAGCUCGAUCAGCCCCGGGUUCGAUUCCCGGCCGACGCA
This is a non-coding RNA of Phyllosticta capitalensis, 115 nucleotides long. The record is from the annotation of a GenBank genome assembly. NCBI's taxonomy places the organism in Eukaryota, Fungi, Ascomycota, Dothideomycetes, Botryosphaeriales, Phyllostictaceae.